RNAcentral lists this long non-coding RNA (1454 nucleotides) under Elaeis guineensis (African oil palm). Its description in RNAcentral is "long non-coding RNA (EGUI_LNC046264)". The record is from RNAcentral. Lineage: Eukaryota; Viridiplantae; Streptophyta; Magnoliopsida; Arecales; Arecaceae.
CGUGCCAUCAAUAUAUACUAAACUUAUUUAGUGUAAAUGAUUGAUUUUGAUAAUUUAUUUAUGCUUAUACCGCAUGAUUUGAAUGAUUUGGAUUAUUAAUUGAUUUUGACAAUUUUGUAGAGUUUGCAAUAAUCUUACUUUAUUGCUUUAAUAUGUUAAUCAUCAUGCCUUUCUUUUACUCUAUGUAUUACAUUAAUUGUUGUGAGCAUGAAUUUAUUUUAAAUUCAGCUAGUUACCUUAGUUCCCCCAUAUCACUUUAUUAUUCAGAAACCUAAAAUUAGCCUGAUUGCAUAAAGAAAUAUUUGGUUACAAAACUUACAAAUUGAAUUAAGUUUUGACAUUAUCAUAAAUCAUGCAAUCAAUGAAAUAUAUUGAAAUAUGCUUGAGCCAAGAAUUUCAAGAUAAGUUAUUUCUUCAUAAAAUAAAGUGCUUGAUAUGUUGAAUUCUAUUGCAUUUCAGCUUGACCCCUUAAGGACUUAAAAAUUCAUAGUUGAACUUAUAUCCUUUAGAUUGAUCUUUAAGGCUUUGAAAGUCCCAUAGUAAAUCUCACCCUUAAAGCUCUCAUCUAGAUUCUCCUUGAUUUGAUCUUGUUUAAAUUGAUUAAUUCUUGCUCCCCCAAAUUGAUUUGAAUAUCAUUUUUGAUCAUUGAUUUGAGUUGCCUUUGAUCUCUAUCCUAUUUAAGCUAAUUUUUCUUUUAUCAAAACUUCUUGAACUAUAUCGAGGAGUCAACUCUUGAACCUGGGAGUUGACUUAUAAUUUCUUAGGAUGCUAGGGUUCUUUUUUAAAUCUUUAGUGAUCCUAGCAUAGUAGUACUCUACCUUUUGAUAGAUAUAGCUCUCAUAUAUCGUGUAUGUUUUCAUCAUUUUCUAUAAUCAUACCUUGCAAAUCAAUAAAAUAUGAUUUUUUUUAUAGAAAUACAAUGUGCUUGAUGUUUACAUUUAUUUUAUUGAAUAUGUGUUUUAUUUGUAAAAUAAAAGGGGAGAAAUCAAAAUUAAAAAGAGAAAUGAUUUCGAAACUUAUUAAGAGAAACUUUACUUAACUUGAUUUAGUCUUAUAAUUUUUUUUUGAUUCUAAUCAUUUGAUUUGUUUUUAGAAAAAAUGUUUUUAAACUUAAAAAGAAAUUAUUUAUAUAUUGCUUGACUCGUCCAUCUUUGAUUUGGGCAUUCAUAUGACUUUUGAUUUGACCAUUUCUCUUCUCCAUCUCAUCUGGGAUCAUCUUCUUAAAGCCACCUGACCUUACCCUUAAGAUGCUAGGACUUGCAUUAUAGAGCCUUUAGUUCUCCCUAGCAUAUCAUUUUUGAUAGAUAUACAUGCUAUACAUUUUGGACUUUUUAAUGUUUGCUAUUGUAAACAUCUCAUGUAGACAUCCUUAGAAAGUAAUGAAAAGGAGAAUUUUUGAAAAUUUGGUCUCAACUUAAAUGAAUGCAAUGUUUAAUUACUAUUGAUGCUUACAC